GGCGGGGUGGCAGAGUGUUUAUGCGAUAAGGGCUGCAACCCUUAUACAGGUCGGUUAAAAUCCGUGCCCCCGCCUCCA
This 78-nucleotide transfer RNA is filed under the name Neisseria musculi. RNAcentral's name for it is "tRNA-Cys". It matches the Rfam family "tRNA". Rfam says of the family: Transfer RNA (tRNA) molecules are approximately 80 nucleotides in length. Their secondary structure includes four short double-helical elements and three loops (D, anti-codon, and T loops). The record is from RNAcentral. RNAcentral also lists the same sequence under 1 other name. Lineage: Bacteria; Pseudomonadati; Pseudomonadota; Betaproteobacteria; Neisseriales; Neisseriaceae.